CGGAUGAACGCUGGCGGCGUGCUUAACACAUGCAAGUCGAACGGAGAAACGGUAGCUUGCUAUCUUUUUUAGUGGCGGACGGGUGAGUAACGCGUGGGUAACCUGCCCUUUGCAGGGGGAUAACAGUGAGAAAUCGCUGCUAAUACCGCAUACCAACUUCUUUCGCAUGAAGGAAGUUUGAAAGAUUUAUCGGCAAAGGAUGGACCCGCGUUGGAUUAGCUAGUUGGUGAGAUAACAGCCCACCAAGGCAACGAUCCAUAGCCGGCCUGAGAGGGUGAACGGCCACACUGGGACUGAGACACGGCCCAGACUCCUACGGGAGGCAGCAGUGGGGAAUAUUGCACAAUGGGCGAAAGCCUGAUGCAGCGACGCCGCGUGAAGGAUGAAGGUCUUCGGAUUGUAAACUUCUAUCAGCAGGGAAGAAAGGGCCUAUGGCCUAUGACGGUACCUGACUAAGAAGCCCCGGCUAACUACGUG
RNAcentral lists this ribosomal RNA (477 nucleotides) under uncultured bacterium. RNAcentral's name for it is "bacterial SSU rRNA". It matches the Rfam family "Bacterial small subunit ribosomal RNA", at positions 27 to 507 of the family's 1533-position model. The record is from RNAcentral.